GGGCGCUUAGCUCAGCUGGGAGAGCAUCUGCCUUACAAGCAGAGGGUCAGAGGUUCGAUCCCUCUAGCGCCCA
RNAcentral lists this transfer RNA (73 nucleotides) under Spirochaetota bacterium. Its description in RNAcentral is "Spirochaetes bacterium (wastewater metagenome) tRNA-Val". It matches the Rfam family "tRNA". Rfam says of the family: Transfer RNA (tRNA) molecules are approximately 80 nucleotides in length. Their secondary structure includes four short double-helical elements and three loops (D, anti-codon, and T loops). Further hydrogen bonds mediate the characteristic L-shaped molecular structure. tRNAs have two regions of fundamental functional importance: the anti-codon, which is responsible for specific mRNA codon recognition, and the 3' end, to which the tRNAs corresponding amino acid is attached (by aminoacyl-tRNA synthetases). tRNAs cope with the degeneracy of the genetic code in two manners: having more than one tRNA (with a specific anti-codon) for a particular amino acid; and 'wobble' base-pairing, i.e. permitting non-standard base-pairing at the 3rd anti-codon position. Lineage: Bacteria; Pseudomonadati; Spirochaetota. The record is from RNAcentral.